Molecule: ribosomal RNA, 468 nt
Filed under: uncultured bacterium
Lineage: Bacteria
Description: partial 16S ribosomal RNA
Rfam family: Bacterial small subunit ribosomal RNA
Source: RNAcentral
GGGGGGGGGGGGGGGGGGGGUGGGGGGGUGGGGGGCGGGGGGGAGGGCGCUGCGUUGGUGGGGUGCUCGGGGGGGGAACGGGUGGGUAACACGUGAGUAACCUGCCCUUGACUUUGGGGUAACUUCAGGAAACUGGGGCUCAUACCGGAUAGGAGCUCCUGCUGCAUGGUGGGGGUUGGAAAGUUUCGGCGGUUGGGGAUGGACUCGCGGCUUAUCAGCUUGUUGGUGGGGUAGUGGCUUACCAAGGCUUUGACGGGUAGCCGGCCUGAGAGGGUGACCGGCCACAUUGGGACUGAGAUACGGCCCAGACUCCUACGGGAGGCAGCAGUGGGGAAUAUUGCACAAUGGGCGGAAGCCUGAUGCAGCAACGCCGCGUGCGGGAUGACGGCCUUCGGGUUGUAAACCGCUUUCGCCUGUGACGAAGCGUGAGUGACGGUAAUGGGUAAAGAAGCACCGGCUAACUACGUG